Molecule: ribosomal RNA, 252 nt
Filed under: uncultured prokaryote
Description: partial 16S ribosomal RNA
Rfam family: Bacterial small subunit ribosomal RNA
Source: RNAcentral
UACGGAGGAUGCGAGCGUUAUCCGGAUUUAUUGGGUUUAAAGGGUGCGUAGGCGGCUUAGUAAGUCAGCGGUGAAAUUUUGCAGCUUAACUGUAACAGUGCCGUUGAUACUGCCAGGCUAGGAUUUGGUUGCUGUGGGUGGAAUGUGUGGUGUAGCGGUGAAAUGCUUAGAUAUCACACAGAAUAUCGAUUGCGAAGGCAGCUCACAAAGCCAAGAUUGACGCUGAGGUGCGAAGGUGCGGGGAGGCAAACA